Molecule: unclassified non-coding RNA, 200 nt
Filed under: Helotiales sp.
Lineage: Eukaryota; Fungi; Ascomycota; Leotiomycetes; Helotiales
Description: partial internal transcribed spacer 2
Source: RNAcentral
UUAAGUUCAGCGGGUAUCCCUACCUGAUCCGAGGUCAACCAUAGAAAAUUGGGGGUUCUGGCGGGUGUCCCUCCGGACCCUAUAGCGAGGAGUAUUACUACGCUUAGAGCCAGAGGGCACCGCCACUGAUUUUAAGGGCUGCCAGAAGGCAUGCCCCAACGCCAAGCUAAGCUUGAGGGUUUAAAUGACGCUCGAACAGG